CACCGGCGGCUCGAGUGGUGGCCACUUUUAUUGGGUCUAAAGCGUCCGUAGCCGGCUUGGCAAGUCCCCUGGGAAAUCUGGCGGCUUAACCGUCAGGCGUCCAGAGGAUACUGCCAGGCUUGGGACCGGGAGAGGUGAGAGGUACCUCAGGGGUAGGGGUGAAAUCUUGUGAUCCCUGAGGGACCACCAGUGGCGAAGGCGCCCCGCUGGAACGGGUCCGACGGUGAGGGACGAAGGCCAGGGGAGCAAACCGG
Molecule: ribosomal RNA, 254 nt
Filed under: uncultured microorganism
Description: partial 16S ribosomal RNA
Rfam family: Archaeal small subunit ribosomal RNA
Source: RNAcentral